RNAcentral lists this ribosomal RNA (578 nucleotides) under uncultured bacterium. RNAcentral's name for it is "bacterial SSU rRNA". It matches the Rfam family "Bacterial small subunit ribosomal RNA", at positions 338 to 916 of the family's 1533-position model. The record is from RNAcentral.
CCUACGGGAGGCAGCAGUAAGGAAUAUUGGACAAUGCUCGCAAGAGUGAUCCCGCCAUGCCGCGUGCAGGAAGAAUGCCCUAUGGGUAGUAAACUGCUUUUGAACUAGAGAAAAUCCCAGUACGUGUACUGGGCUGAUAGUAUAGUUAGAAUAAGCAUCGGCUAACUUCGUGCCAGCAGCCGCGGUAAGACGAAGGAUGCAAGCGUUAUCCGGAUUCAUUGGGUUUAAAGGGAGCGUAGGUGGACUGAUAAGUCAGUGGUGAAAUCUCCGAGCUUAACUCGGAAAUUGCCAUUGAUACUGUUGGUCUUGAGUACAGUUGCUGUGGGCGGAAUAUGACAUGUAGUGGUGAAAUACAUAGAGAUGUCAUAGAACACCGAUUGCGAAGGCAGCUCACAAAGCUGUAACUGACACUGAGGCUCGAAAGUGCGGGGAUCAAACAGGAUUAGAUACCCUGGUAGUCCGCACCGUAAACGAUGAUUACUCGCUGCUAGGGGGCAACCUUUAGUGGCUUAGCGAAAGCGAUAAGUAAUCCACCUGGGAGUACGCCGGCAACGGUGAAACGUCAAAUGAAUUGACGG